CAGUCGAGCGGACAGAUGGGAGCUUGCUCCCGGAUGUUAGCGGCGGACGGGUGAGUAACACGUGGGUAACCUGCCUGUAAGACUGGGAUAACUCCGGGAAACCGGAGCUAAUACCGGAUACUUUCUUUUCCCGCAUGGUACAAGGUGGAAAGACGGUUUCCGCUGUCACUUAUAGAUGGGCCCGCGGCGCAUUAGCUAGUUGGUGAGGUAAUGGCUCACCAAGGCGACGAUGCGUAGCCGACCUGAGAGGGUGAUCGGCCACACUGGGACUGAGACACGGCCCAGACUCCUACGGGAGGCAGCAGUAGGGAAUCUUCCGCAAUGGACGAAAGUCUGACGGAGCAACGCCGCGUGAGUGAAGAAGGUCUUCGGAUCGUAAAGUUCUGUUGUUAGGGAAGAACAAGUGCAAGAGUAACUGCUGGCACCUUGACGGUACCUAACCAGAAAGCCACGGCUAACUACGUGCCAGCAGCCGCGGUAAUACGUAGGUGGCAAGCGUUGUCCGGAAUUAUUGGGCGUAAAGGGCUCGCAGGUGGUUUCUUAAGUCUGAUGUGAAAGCCCACGGCUCAACCGUGGAGGGUCAUUGGAAACUGGGAAACUUGAGUGCAGAAGAGGAGAGUGGAAUUCCACGUGUAGCGGUGAAAUGCGUAGAGAUUUGGAGGAACACCAGUGGCGAAGGCGACUCUC
Molecule: ribosomal RNA, 687 nt
Filed under: Bacillus sp. FJAT-4597
Lineage: Bacteria; Bacillati; Bacillota; Bacilli; Caryophanales; Bacillaceae
Description: bacterial SSU rRNA
Rfam family: Bacterial small subunit ribosomal RNA
Source: RNAcentral